GAUGAACGCUGGCGGCGUGCCUAAUACAUGCAAGUCGAGCGAACGGACGAGAAGCUUGCUUCUCUGAUGUUAGCGGCGGACGGGUGAGUAACACGUGGAUACCCUACCUAUAAGACUGGGAUAACUUCGGGAAACCGGAGCUUAUACCGGAUAAUAUUUUGAACCGCAUGGUUCAAAAGUAAAAGACGGCCUUGCUGUCUCUUAUCGCUGGAUCCGCGCUGCAUUAGCUAGUUGGUAAGGUAACGGCUUACCAAGGCAACGAUGCAUAGCCGACCUGAGAGGGUGAUCGGCCGCACGGGAACGUAGACACGGUCCAUACUCCUACGGGAGGCAGCAGUAGGGAAUCUGCCGCAAUGGGCGAAAGCCUUACGGAGCAACGCCGCGUGUGUGAUGAAGGUCUUCGGAUCGUAAUACUCUGUUAUGAGGUAAGAACAGAUGUGUAAGGAACUGUGCACAGCUUGACGGUACCUAAUCAGAAAGCCACGGCUAACUACGUG
This 497-nucleotide ribosomal RNA is filed under the name uncultured bacterium. Its description in RNAcentral is "partial 16S ribosomal RNA". It matches the Rfam family "Bacterial small subunit ribosomal RNA", at positions 28 to 507 of the family's 1533-position model. The record is from RNAcentral.